RNAcentral lists this non-coding RNA (32 nucleotides) under Mus musculus (house mouse). Lineage: Eukaryota; Metazoa; Chordata; Mammalia; Rodentia; Muridae. The record is from RNAcentral.
UAAAGAAGAUGUUCCAGAAUCAAAAUUUCAGG